This is a non-coding RNA of Pilobolus umbonatus, 76 nucleotides long. The record is from the annotation of a GenBank genome assembly. Lineage: Eukaryota; Fungi; Mucoromycota; Mucoromycetes; Mucorales; Pilobolaceae.
GGUCUCUUAGUGCAGUGGUGAGCACAUCAUUUAAUCCAAUUUACUGAAAACGCCAGUUCGACUCUGGCAGAGACCA